Long non-coding RNA from Sapajus apella (tufted capuchin), 126 nucleotides. RefSeq lists it as uncharacterized. The record is from RefSeq and is a predicted model, not a curated record. The transcript is spliced from 2 exons. Lineage: Eukaryota; Metazoa; Chordata; Mammalia; Primates; Cebidae.
GUGUGGUGACUCAUGCCUGUAAUCCUAGCACUUUGGGAGGCCAUGGCAGAUGGAUCAACCGAAGUCAGGAGUUUGAGACCAGACUGGCCAACAUGGUGAAACCCUGUCUCUACUAAAAAUACAAAA